Molecule: ribosomal RNA, 449 nt
Filed under: uncultured bacterium
Lineage: Bacteria
Description: partial 16S ribosomal RNA
Rfam family: Bacterial small subunit ribosomal RNA
Source: RNAcentral
AACGAACGCUGGCGGCAGGCCUAACACAUGCAAGUCGAACGAAGUCUUCGGACUUAGUGGCGCACGGGUGAGUAACACGUGGGAAUAUACCUUACGCUGGGGGAUAACAUCGGGAAACUGAUGCUAAUACCGCAUACGCCCUUCGGGGGAAAGAUUUAUCGGCGAAAGAUUAGCCCGCGUCCGAUUAGCUAGUUGGUGAGGUAAUGGCUCACCAAGGCUCCGAUCGGUAGCUGGUCUGAGAGGAUGACCAGCCACACUGGGACUGAGACACGGCCCAGACUCCUACGGGAGGCAGCAGUGGGGAAUAUUGGACAAUGGGCGCAAGCCUGAUCCAGCCAUGCCGCGUGAGUGAUGAAGGCCUUAGGGUUGUAAAGCUCUUUCGACGGGGACGAUGAUGACGGUACCCGUAGAAGAAGCCCCGGCUAACUUCGUGCCAGCCGCCGCCGUAA